Molecule: ribosomal RNA, 451 nt
Filed under: uncultured bacterium
Lineage: Bacteria
Description: partial 16S ribosomal RNA
Rfam family: Bacterial small subunit ribosomal RNA
Source: RNAcentral
GAUGAACGCUGACAGAAUGCUUAACACAUGCAAGUCAACUUGAACUUCGGUUUGGGUGGCGGACGGGUGAGUAACGCGUAAAGAACUUGCCUCACAGUUAGGGACAACAUUUGGAAACGAAUGCUAAUACCUGAUAUUAUGAUUUUAGGGCAUCCUAGAAUUAUGAAAGCUAUAUGCGCUGUGAGAGAGCUUUGCGUCCCAUUAGCUAGUUGGAGAGGUAACGGCUCACCAAGGCGAUGAUGGGUAGCCGGCCUGAGAGGGUGAACGGCCACAAGGGGACUGAGACACGGCCCUUACUCCUACGGGAGGCAGCAGUGGGGAAUAUUGGACAAUGGACCAAGAGUCUGAUCCAGCAAUUCUGUGUGCACGAUGAAGUUUUUCGGAAUGUAAAGUGCUUUCAGUUGGGAAGAAAAAAAUGACGAUACCAACAGAAGAAGUGACGGCUAAAUAC